UGUUUUUAUGAUUUUAAGCCUGCAAGUCAAGCAUUACUGAAGCUGAAACCCAAUUGAAACAGGGACAGAUUAAACUAAAACAUGCACAAGCUGAGCUAAAGAGCAAGAAGUCUGAGCUGAAAGCAACAGAACAAGGUUAUGAAAAGGACAAGAAAGAAUUUGAUGCYAUUAACAAAGCCAAGAGUAAACUAGAGGCAGAGCUGAAAAAACUGAAUUAUGAAGUGGGAAAGGARGAUAAGUUGUUUGCUGAAAGGCGACAACUUGAAAGUAAACUCGCCAACCUGAAAAGUACAGUUAAUAGUAUAGAGGCCAAGUUUCCAAAUUUUAAGUUUGAAUAUAAAGAUCCUGAACCCAGGUUUGAUAGAAAAAAGGU
Long non-coding RNA from Exaiptasia diaphana, 373 nucleotides. RefSeq lists it as uncharacterized. The transcript has 5 exons. The record is from RefSeq and is a predicted model, not a curated record. NCBI's taxonomy places the organism in Eukaryota, Metazoa, Cnidaria, Anthozoa, Actiniaria, Aiptasiidae.